GUCUGCGGCCAUGCCACCCUGAACAAGCCCCAUGUCUGGUCUGGGAAGCUAAGCAGGGUCAGGCCUGGUUAGUACUUGGAUGGGAGACCACCUAGGAUAGACCAGGUGCUAUAGGCA
This 117-nucleotide ribosomal RNA is filed under the name Pteropus alecto (black flying fox). The record is from RNAcentral. Lineage: Eukaryota; Metazoa; Chordata; Mammalia; Chiroptera; Pteropodidae.